GCUUACCAUGCAGUCGAGGGGCAACGACGGGGAAGCUUGCUUCCCCGGGCGUCGACCGGCGCACGGGUGAGUAACGCGUAUCCAACCUGCCUCUGACUGAGGGAUAACCCGUCGAAAGUCGGCCUAAUACCUCAUGGCAUCGUCUGCGGGCAUCCAACGACGAUUAAAGAUUUCAUCGGUCAGGGAUGGGGAUGCGUCUGAUUAGCUUGUUGGCGGGGUAACGGCCCACCAAGGCGACGAUCAGUAGGGGUUCUGAGAGGAAGGUCCCCCACAUUGGAACUGAGACACGGUCCAAACUCCUACGGGAGGCAGCAGUGAGGAAUAUUGGUCAAUGGGCGAGAGCCUGAACCACCCAAGUAGCGUGCAGGAUGACGGCCCUAUGGGUUGUAAACUGCUUUUAUGCGGGGAUAAAGUGAGGGACGUGUCCUUCAUUGCAGGUACCGCAUGAAUAAGGACCGGCUAAUUCCGUGCCAGCAGCCGCGGUAAUACGGAAGGUCCGGGCGUUAUCCGGAUUUAUUGGGUUUAAAGGGAGCGUAGGCCGUGGAUUAAGCGUGUUGUGAAAUGCAGGUGCUCAACGUCUGCACUGCAGCGCGAACUGGUCCACUUGAGUGUGCGCAACGCAGGCGGAAGUCAUCGUGUAGCGGUGAAAUGCUUAGAUAU
Molecule: ribosomal RNA, 660 nt
Filed under: Segatella oris
Lineage: Bacteria; Pseudomonadati; Bacteroidota; Bacteroidia; Bacteroidales; Prevotellaceae
Description: bacterial SSU rRNA
Rfam family: Bacterial small subunit ribosomal RNA
Source: RNAcentral